UACACACCGCCCGUCACAUCACGGGAGUUGGUUUUGCCCGAAGACGGUGUGCUAACCCGCAAGGGAGGCAGCCGGCCACGGUAAGGUCAGCGACUGGGAUG
This 101-nucleotide ribosomal RNA is filed under the name uncultured bacterium. Its description in RNAcentral is "partial 16S ribosomal RNA". It matches the Rfam family "Bacterial small subunit ribosomal RNA", at positions 1384 to 1482 of the family's 1533-position model. The record is from RNAcentral.